This 253-nucleotide unclassified non-coding RNA is filed under the name Hevea brasiliensis (rubber tree). Lineage: Eukaryota; Viridiplantae; Streptophyta; Magnoliopsida; Malpighiales; Euphorbiaceae. The record is from RNAcentral.
AUAACUGUCAGUUUUGGGAGUGUCAAGUCUCUUAUAAGCAUGCCCUGCUUUAUGUCCCAUGCAAGUAUACCAGUGGCAUUGCGAGAGGCCAGAGGUCUCACUGAAGAUCUUGUUCGUAUCUCUGUGGGGAUAGAAGACGUCAAUGAUCUGAUUUCUGAUUUAGACCAUGCACUAAGAACUGGGCCAUUGUAGGCACUUGAGUGUUUGACCCUCUAUUGAAUCUGAAGUUAUCUUUGCUUUAAAUUGAACAAGC